AAACGUAGGGGGCGAGCGUUGUCCGGAAUUACUGGGCGUAAAGGGCGUGUAGGCGGCUAGGUAAGUCAGGUGUGAAAACUUUGGGCUCAACCGGGAGAUUGCACCUGAAACUGCGUAGCUUGAGGGUAGGAGAGGGAAGUGGAAUUCCUAGUGUAGCGGUGAAAUGCGUAGAUAUUAGGAGGAACACCAGUGGCGAAGGCGACUUUCUGGCCUAACCCUGACGCUGAGGCGCGAAAGCGUGGGGAGCAAACAGGAUUAGAUACCCUGGUAGUCCACGCCGUAAACGAUGGGUACUAGGUGUAGGAGGUAUCGACCCCUUCUGUGACGCAGCAAACGCAUUAAGUACCCCGCCUGGGGAGUACGGCCGCAAGGCUGAA
This 377-nucleotide ribosomal RNA is filed under the name uncultured bacterium. RNAcentral's name for it is "bacterial SSU rRNA". It matches the Rfam family "Bacterial small subunit ribosomal RNA", at positions 523 to 898 of the family's 1533-position model. The record is from RNAcentral.